This 72-nucleotide transfer RNA is filed under the name Heterocephalus glaber (naked mole-rat). It matches the Rfam family "tRNA". Rfam says of the family: Transfer RNA (tRNA) molecules are approximately 80 nucleotides in length. Their secondary structure includes four short double-helical elements and three loops (D, anti-codon, and T loops). Lineage: Eukaryota; Metazoa; Chordata; Mammalia; Rodentia; Bathyergidae. The record is from Rfam by way of RNAcentral.
GAUAGUGUAGCUCAGUGGUACAGCACCAGCUUACUAUGCGUGAGGCCCUAGGUUUGAUCCUCAGCACUCUCA